RNAcentral lists this ribosomal RNA (846 nucleotides) under uncultured archaeon. Its description in RNAcentral is "bacterial SSU rRNA". It matches the Rfam family "Archaeal small subunit ribosomal RNA", at positions 68 to 903 of the family's 1478-position model. The record is from RNAcentral.
UAAAGUUCCCAUGGCAAACUGCUCAGUAACACAUGAUCAACUUACCCUAUAGAGAAAAAUAACCUCGGGAAACUGAGGAUAAUGUUUCAUAGUUGAAUUGGCUUGGAAAAGUUUUUCGACGAAAGGGGUAAAAAAAAUGGUUUUUAUCUGCUAUAGGAUAGGAUCGUGUUCGAUUAUGGUUGUUGGUGAGGUAAUGGCUCACCAAGCCGAUAAUCGAUAGGGGCCGUGAGAGCGGGAGCCCCGAGAUGGGUACUGAGACAACGACCCAGGCCUUACGAGGCGCAGCAGGCGCGAAACCUCCGCAAUACACGAAAGUGUGACGGGGUUACCCAAAGUGUUCAAUUUUGAACUGUGGUAGGUGAGUAAUGUUCCCUACUAGAAAGGAGAGGGCAAGGCUGGUGCCAGCCGCCGCGGUAAAACCAGCUCUUCAAGUGGUCGGGAUAAUUAUUGGGCUUAAAGUGUCCGUAGCCGGUUUAGUAAGUUCCUGGUAAAAUCGGGUAGCUUAACUAUCUAUAUGCUAGGAAUACUACUAUACUAGAGGGCGGGGGAGGUCUGAGGUACUGCAGGGGUAGGGGUGAAAUCUUAUAAUCCUUGUUGGACCACCAGUGGCGAAGGCGUCAGACUGGAACGCGCCUGACGGUGAGGGACGAAAGCCAGGGGAGCGAACCGGAUUAGAUACCCGGGUAGUCCUGGCCGUAAACGAUGCAUACUAGGUGAUGGCACGGCCAUGAGCCGUGUCAGUGCCGUAGGGAACCCGUUAAGUGUGCCGCCUGGGAAGUACGGUCGCAAGGCUAAAACUUAAAGGAAUUGGCGGGGGAGCACCACAAGGGGUGAAGCCUGCGGUUC